RNAcentral lists this ribosomal RNA (468 nucleotides) under uncultured bacterium. RNAcentral describes it as "partial 16S ribosomal RNA". It matches the Rfam family "Bacterial small subunit ribosomal RNA", at positions 28 to 507 of the family's 1533-position model. The record is from RNAcentral.
GACGAACGCUGGCGGCGUGCUUAACACAUGCAAGUCGAACGGAAAGGCCCUGCUUUUGUGGGGUGCUCGAGUGGCGAACGGGUGAGUAACACGUGAGUAACCUGCCCUUGACUUUGGGAUAACUUCAGGAAACUGGGGCUAAUACCGGAUAGGAGCUCCUGCUGCAUGGUGGGGGUUGGAAAGUUUCGGCGGUUGGGGAUGGACUCGCGGCUUAUCAGCUUGUUGGUGGGGUAGUGGCUUACCAAGGCUGUGACGGGUAGCCGGCCUGAGAGGGUGACCGGCCACAUUGGGACUGAGGUACGGCCCAGACUCCUACAGGAGGCAACAGUGGGGAAUAUUGCACAAUGGGAGGAAGCCUGAUGCAGCGACGCCGCGUGCGGGAUGACGGCCUUCUGGUUGUGAACCGCUUUCGCCUGUGACGAAGCGUGAGUGACGGUAAUGGGUGAAGAAGCACCGGCUAACUACGUG